Molecule: unclassified non-coding RNA, 1015 nt
Filed under: Leishmania donovani
Lineage: Eukaryota; Euglenozoa; Kinetoplastea; Trypanosomatida; Trypanosomatidae
Description: gene:unknown
Source: RNAcentral
GGACGUUCUCCUUCUUUAGUGUCUUUCAUGCAGUGUGUGUGUGUGUGUGCGUAUGCGCCAGUGGUGGACGCAUGCCAUUCACGUUGCCCUGUUGUUGUUGUUGCCCGUCACAAAUCCACUCUCGCUUCCGUUGCCCCACUCCUUUGUUGCCGCUGUCUUCCGCCCUCUACGCCCCUCUGUUAGCCGGUUGACUGUAUUGCGUUCUCGCUAUACCUGCGUUGUUUCGGCGCCUGCAAAAGGUGUUGGCGCCCCUAUCCCCUUCGCCUUCUCACUGCCCCCCUCUUCCUCUUUAUCUUGCUUCUUUCUUUUCGCACCUCCCUUCUCUGUACCGCAUGGUAUUUUUACUUUCGUCUUCGUCGUGAUUACCCAUCUCUGCCCAGCGCCGGACAGCAAACCCGAUCAGAGAGCCCCUUGCGAACGCUUGUGCGUGACUCAUGACGCUGCGCCAAGCGAGAGCCGCGUGUGCGUAAGUGCGUGCGUGUGUGCGCGCGUGUAUGGGGGCGCGACGUUCCAUGGAGGGGCGCUGAUGAGUUUUCAUCUACGUACAUACAAUGGCGAGGGCGUGCGUCCGUGUGUCAUGCCUAGCCUUUCCCUCUUUUCCGUCAUCAUCGCUUUCUUUUUUUUUAUUUGGGGUUAUGUUCAUCUCCGUUUCUCUCUGUGUGUCUGUGUGGGUUUAUGUAAAAGUUGAUGGUAUUUGGCUAUAGCCGGACCGCUCCUGCUCACUACAGUGGGACACACAAGACAGGACGACGACCACAAACGGUCCACUGUACUCGCACACCGAGACGCGUCUGUGUGAUGGCAGCAGGAGCAGUGAUGCUCCAAGGUAAGCACGCCUUUUCCUUUCCUGUGCCAAUCUCGCCGUGGGUCUGGUCCACGGCGAGAUGACGCCUUUGCAUCUCAGUCUCUUUCUUACUCUUCAAAUAACGAGCCCGCUCUAUGUAUUCCUACUCUCAUUGCCCAACACCACCUUCUCCACCUAUUCCCUGUGUGAAUCCUUACUCAACGACUGCAG